RNAcentral lists this ribosomal RNA (253 nucleotides) under uncultured bacterium. RNAcentral's name for it is "partial 16S ribosomal RNA". It matches the Rfam family "Bacterial small subunit ribosomal RNA", at positions 524 to 776 of the family's 1533-position model. The record is from RNAcentral.
UACGGGGGGUGCGAGCGUUGUCCGGAAUCACUGGGCUUAAAGGGCGCGUAGGCGGGUGCUCAAGUCCGGGGUGAAAUCCUCCAGCUCAACUGGAGAACUGCCUCGGAUACUGGGUGUCUCGAGGGUGGUAGGGGUAUGCGGAACUAUCGGUGGAGCGGUGAAAUGCGUUGAUAUCGAUAGGAACUCCGGUGGCGAAGGCGGCAUACUGGACCACAUCUGACGCUGAGGCGCGAAAGCCAGGGGAGCAAACGGG